GACGAACGCUGGCGGCGUGCCUAAUACAUGCAAGUAGAACGCUGAAGAGAGGAGCUUGCUCUUCUUGGAUGAGUUGCGAACGGGUGAGUAACGCGUAUGUAACCUGCCUUUUAUCGGGGUAUAACUAUUGGAAACGAUAUCUAAUACCGCAUAACAAUGUAUGACACAUUUCAUUUAUUUGAAAUUGGCACUUUCUCCACUACAAGAUGGACCUGCGUUGUAUUAGCUAGUAGGUGAGGUAAUGGCUCACCUAGGCGACGAUACAUAGCCGACCUGAGAGGGGGGUCGGCCAAACUGGGAAGGAGACAAGGCCCAGAAUGCUACGGGAGGCAGCAGGAGGGAAACAUCGGAAAUGGGGGCAACACUGAACGAGAAAAGCCGCGGGAGUGAAGAAGGAUUUCGGAUCGUAAAGCUCUGUUGUAAGUCAAGAACGGGUGUGAGAGUGGAAAGUUCACACUGUGACGGUAGCUUACCAGAAAGGGACGGCUAACUACGUG
RNAcentral lists this ribosomal RNA (497 nucleotides) under uncultured bacterium. Its description in RNAcentral is "partial 16S ribosomal RNA". It matches the Rfam family "Bacterial small subunit ribosomal RNA", at positions 28 to 507 of the family's 1533-position model. The record is from RNAcentral.